This 22-nucleotide microRNA is filed under the name Lepisosteus oculatus (spotted gar). Its description in RNAcentral is "Loc-Mir-193-P1b-as_3p (mature (guide))". The record is from RNAcentral. Lineage: Eukaryota; Metazoa; Chordata; Actinopteri; Semionotiformes; Lepisosteidae.
ACCUCGCCCGCAAAGACCCAGC